UUGGUAGAGCACCUGGUUUGGGACCAGGGGGUCGCAGGUUCGAAUCCUGUUUUCCCGACUGGAUACAAAAAGUU
Molecule: transfer RNA, 74 nt
Filed under: Latilactobacillus sakei
Lineage: Bacteria; Bacillati; Bacillota; Bacilli; Lactobacillales; Lactobacillaceae
Description: Lactobacillus sakei tRNA-Pro
Rfam family: tRNA (bases 1-58)
About the family: Transfer RNA (tRNA) molecules are approximately 80 nucleotides in length. Their secondary structure includes four short double-helical elements and three loops (D, anti-codon, and T loops). Further hydrogen bonds mediate the characteristic L-shaped molecular structure. tRNAs have two regions of fundamental functional importance: the anti-codon, which is responsible for specific mRNA codon recognition, and the 3' end, to which the tRNAs corresponding amino acid is attached (by aminoacyl-tRNA synthetases). tRNAs cope with the degeneracy of the genetic code in two manners: having more than one tRNA (with a specific anti-codon) for a particular amino acid; and 'wobble' base-pairing, i.e. permitting non-standard base-pairing at the 3rd anti-codon position.
Source: RNAcentral